This 182-nucleotide antisense RNA is filed under the name Nicotiana sylvestris (wood tobacco). RNAcentral's name for it is "Antisense RNA which regulates isiA expression". It matches the Rfam family "Antisense RNA which regulates isiA expression". RNAcentral also lists the same sequence under 1 other name. Lineage: Eukaryota; Viridiplantae; Streptophyta; Magnoliopsida; Solanales; Solanaceae. The record is from Rfam by way of RNAcentral.
AGUUGUCCAUUCUCAUAUGAGGCCGAAAAGUGGAUAAUUUUUCUUGCAUCUCUCCCUCCCGGAGAUCAGGUAUCAUAUACACCCCCAAAAUAAAGAGCCUUGAAUACUAGAAGAAAAACACCUAGACCUAACAAGAUUAAGUGAAUACCUAAAAUUGUGGUCAUUUUAUUUCGAUCUUUUCC